AUAAUUUGACAUAAAUAUUACUUUUAGAUAUAUUUAAGUAUUUAUUGGUAACAUUUCAUAUAUAUUUAUUAUAAUAUUUAUAUUACAUGGUCUCGAGUUUUACGUUUCGCCCCGAGCAAUUUGGACCGGCCCUGGAUUAGUCACACUGAUUCACUGAAGAAAUAGAAGGAAAAUUAACACGAACACGGACCAUGAAUCCGGAUCGAAUGCAGGAUCUCUAAUUCAUCGGAUAUUGAAUUUAAUCGGAGGCAGUUUAGGCGAGUACCUGCAAGGUGUACUCGAACGCUCGAGAUCCCGUCGACUCCUUUGGCGCCGGCGUCUGGCGCCCGCCGGCGAGGGCACAUCGAACGUGAAGCAUGGAGGUCCAGCUAACAACUAAAACCUAUUGGGGAAUAUAGAUCUGAAAAAAAAAACUGAACUCUUUGUUUUAGAUUUCCCACCAAAUUAACCCAAGGAAGUUAGGGGCUUAGGGCUCCACACAAAUGAUUAAAAAGAAAUCAAUCCAAGUCUGAGAGGUGGAUCUCUACUACCCUAAGCCAUAUGGCAUAGACGAAGGAGGACAGAAGAGUACCUUUGUGGCGCUUCUUCGGCGGGAAAGAGGUCUGGGGUUCUUCUUCGUUCGGAGUUUGUCUUUGUCGUCGCGAGGUCUGAUUAGGGAUGGCAACGGGGACUAAUCCCCGCGGGGUCCCCAUCCCCGCGAACAGAAGCAGUUGACUCCGGAAGAGCUCGCACAUUGAGGCCGAAGGCAUCACCAUCAGAGCGAAACUCAAUCUUCCCUACCACUGCUUCCCCAAUCCCCGAAACAACCUCUUACUUCAUUGCCGUCGGAGCUCAAGACGCAACGAUGGAGAAGCGUAGGCAGGAGAUGAGGGCCCUGCCGCGCAGUUGCCUGGCAUUAGAGUUGGAGGAGGCUUCGCUAUGGGAGAGGAGGCGG
RNAcentral lists this long non-coding RNA (934 nucleotides) under Setaria italica (foxtail millet). RNAcentral describes it as "long non-coding RNA (SITA_LNC005678)". Lineage: Eukaryota; Viridiplantae; Streptophyta; Magnoliopsida; Poales; Poaceae. The record is from RNAcentral.